ACACAUUCCAGCCAAUCAGCAGCAGACCCUCCCUCCCAGACCCUCCCACCUCCUGGACAGCAUCCAUUUUACAUUCGUUGUGAAGCUGCAUUCUUAGUGAGCUGUCCAAGAGGUGGGAGGGUCUGGGAGGGAGGGUCUGCUGCUGAUUGGCUGGAAUGUGUCU
This 163-nucleotide microRNA precursor is filed under the name Pelobates cultripes (western spadefoot toad). Lineage: Eukaryota; Metazoa; Chordata; Amphibia; Anura; Pelobatidae. The record is from RNAcentral.